This 355-nucleotide ribosomal RNA is filed under the name uncultured Enterococcus sp. RNAcentral describes it as "bacterial SSU rRNA". It matches the Rfam family "Bacterial small subunit ribosomal RNA", at positions 1009 to 1365 of the family's 1533-position model. The record is from RNAcentral. Lineage: Bacteria; Bacillati; Bacillota; Bacilli; Lactobacillales; Enterococcaceae.
GAGCUUCCCCUUCCGGGGCAAAGUGACAGGUGGUGCAUGGUUGUCGUCAGCUCGUGUCGUGAGAUGUUGGGUUAAGUCCCGCAACGAGCGCAACCCUUAUUGUUAGUUGCCAUCAUUUAGUUGGGCACUCUAGCGAGACUGCCGGUGACAAACCGGAGGAAGGUGGGGAUGACGUCAAAUCAUCAUGGCCCUUAUGACCUGGGCUACACACGUGCUACAAUGGGAAGUACAACGAGUCGCGAAGUCGCGAGGCUAAGCUAAUCUCUUAAAGCUUCUCUCAGUUCGGAUUGUAGGCUGCAACUCGCCUACAUGAAGCCGGAAUCGCUAGUAAUCGCGGAUCAGCACGCCGCGGUGA